UACUAGAGUGGCGAACGGGUGAGUAACACGUGGGUGAUCUGCCCUGCACUCUGGGAUAAGCCUGGGAAACUGGGUCUAAUACCGGAUAGGACCAUGCUUUAGUGUGUGUGGUGGAAAGUUUUUUCGGUGUAGGAUGAGCCCGCGGCCUAUCAGCUUGUUGGUGGGGUAAUGGCCUACCAAGGCGGCGACGGGUAGCCGGACUGAGAGGUUGGUCGGCCACAUUGGGACUGAGAUACGGCCCAG
Molecule: ribosomal RNA, 243 nt
Filed under: uncultured Actinomycetales bacterium
Lineage: Bacteria; Bacillati; Actinomycetota; Actinomycetes; Actinomycetales
Description: partial 16S ribosomal RNA
Rfam family: Bacterial small subunit ribosomal RNA
Source: RNAcentral